CCAAAAAUCUAGCCCUAAAUUAUCUUAUACUCUCCCCUCCCCAUAAACAUAAACUAAAACAUUUAUUCUGCUUAGUAAAGGCGAUUGAAAAGCUUAUUAGAGCUAUAACAAUAGUACCGCAAGGAAAAGAUGAAAUAAAAAUGAAAUAAAACUCAAGCACAACAAAGCAGAGUUACCCCCUCGUACCUUUUGCAUCAUGGUUCAACUAGUCUAAUCAAGCAAAAUGAACUUUAGUUUGACUCCCCGAAACUAGACGAGCUACUUCGAGGCAGCUUAAUGAGCUCACCCGUCUCUGUUGCAAAAGAGUGGGAAGACCCCCAAGUAGCGGUGAUAGACCUAACGAGUCUAGUGAUAGCUGGUUACUUAAGAAAAGGACUUUAGUCCCAUCUAAAGCAUUUUUAAUUCACUUAAAUAAUUCCUAUGCUUUAGCUUCAUUCAAAUGAGGUACAGCCCGUUUGAAACAAGGACACAACCUGCACUAAUGGGUAAUGUCUUUCUCCUGCGUAAACAAGUUGGCCUAAAAGCAGCCAUCUUUAAAAUAGCGUCAAAGCUUACUUACUAUUCCCACCAAUCCCCUAAUACACCCCAAUCCCUUUAUUUGUAUUAAGUUAUUCUAUAAUCUUAUAGAAGCCCUUAUGUUGAAACUAGUAAUAAGAAGAUAGCCCUUCUCUUAAAUGUAAGUGUAAAUCAGAAAGGACAUACCACUGAUAAUUAAACACCUAUGGCCCUAAAACAGCAACUCCACUAGAAAACCCUGUUGCCCUUAAUGUUAAUCUAACACCAGCACAUUUCAAGAAAGAUUAAAAGAAAAAGAAGGAACUCGGCAAAUAUUAACCUCGCCUGUUUACCAAAAACACCGCCUCUUGCAUAAUAUAAGAGGUCUAGCCUGCCCAGUGACCCAGUUCAACGGCCGCGGUAUCCUAACCGUGCGAAGGUAGCGUAAUCACUUGUUCUUUAAAUGAGGACUAGUAUGAAUGGCAUCACGAGGGUUACACUGUCUCCUUUUUCUAAUCAAUGAAACUAAUCUCCCCGUGAAGAAGCGGGGAUAUGUAUAUAAGACGAGAAGACCCUAUGGAGCUUCAAACUAUUUAGCACUGGCUUUUAUAUAUCUCUACUUCAGAGUUUUUACACUUAUUCUAGCCUCUUGACUAAUAGUUUUAGGUUGGGGUGACCACGGAGCAAAAAUUAACCUCCACGAUGAACAGAGCUACUCUUGAACCAAAAGCCACAACUUUAAGCACCAAUAAACUGACACAAAUUGACCCAAUAUUUUGAACAACGAACCAAGUUACCCUAGGGAUAACAGCGCAAUCCACCUUAAGAGCCCCUAUCGACAGGUGGGUUUACGACCUCGAUGUUGGAUCAGGGUAUACCCAGUGGUGCA
RNAcentral lists this ribosomal RNA (1384 nucleotides) under Dendropsophus triangulum (triangle treefrog). RNAcentral describes it as "partial 16S ribosomal RNA". It matches the Rfam family "Bacterial large subunit ribosomal RNA", at positions 410 to 2557 of the family's 2925-position model. The record is from RNAcentral. Lineage: Eukaryota; Metazoa; Chordata; Amphibia; Anura; Hylidae.